UAUAGACAGGAAACAAUCACAAAACUGUUUGAUCUCUCAAGUUCACUGAAUGACAAGGAGCAACUGAAACUAUUCAAGGAAACCCUGCAGAAAGCAAUACAAGAAGAACAAAGGCUAAAGGCAAAAUAUAUGUACAGAAUAGCAACAUCAGGUUUUGAGGAAAUGUAUGACCAAAGCACUCGUCAGCUGGAAAUGGUGAAGAGAUUAUCGCCCGAUAGCCCAUUCGUUAACAUCUGUUCGCACAUGUUGAAGAAUGUGAGAACUUUCAUAUACAAGAAGAUGAGUUUGCUGCAAAAAUAGAGAACUCAGAAAAGAAACUGGGUGCGAUGAGGAGCUUGU
This is a long non-coding RNA of Pundamilia nyererei, 339 nucleotides long. RefSeq lists it as uncharacterized. The record is from RefSeq and is a predicted model, not a curated record. The transcript has 3 exons. Lineage: Eukaryota; Metazoa; Chordata; Actinopteri; Cichliformes; Cichlidae.